Molecule: ribosomal RNA, 253 nt
Filed under: uncultured bacterium
Lineage: Bacteria
Description: partial 16S ribosomal RNA
Rfam family: Bacterial small subunit ribosomal RNA
Source: RNAcentral
UACGGAGGAGGCAAGCGUUAUCCGGCAUUAUUGGGCGUAAAGCGUCCGUCGGUGGCCAUGCAAGUCUGCUGUCAAAGCAUGGAGCUUAACUCCAUAGAGGCAGUGGAAACUGAAUAGCUAGAGAUCGGUAGGGGCAGCGGGGAUUCCCAGUGUAGCGGUGAAAUGCGUAGAGAAUGGGAAGAACAUCGGUGGCGAAAGCGCGCUACUAGGCCGAAACUGACACUGAGGAACGAAAGCUAGGGGAGCGAAAGGG